This 1681-nucleotide long non-coding RNA is filed under the name Homo sapiens (human). Its description in RNAcentral is "HSALNT0014960". The record is from RNAcentral. Lineage: Eukaryota; Metazoa; Chordata; Mammalia; Primates; Hominidae.
CCAAGAUCAUGCCACUGCACUCCAGCCGGGCAACAGAGCAAGACUUCACCUCAAAAAAAAAAAAAAAAAAAAAAAAAAGAAUAGAUGUUUCCUAGGCUGACUAAUGGAUUAAAAUUCCCCAAUACUGAGGCAUAUGCUAGUCACAAGUCCGAAGUUGUAGAAGAACCAGUAACUCAUGAAUUGGCCUUAGCUUGCUCUUGCACUUGCUUACUUGCUUGCUUGCUUCUUACAGAGGGCGGAUGGAAUAACUCAACAUUCCUUCCUUCCUCCACUGCAACACAAGUUACAUAGGUGAUGAUGUGGUAGUUGAUUGAUCGGCAUCCCCUCAGCACCCAGCUCACUGCAUUGCACACAGUAAGCAGUUAGUAAAUGAGAGCAUCAAAUCAAUACCGUGAUUGGUACAUACUUGAUUCAAUAAUUAUUGGGCACCUACCAUUUUGUUGCCUGCAAUACACCUUUCCCCUUUUGGUGCAGAGGCAUGAGAAGAAUUCUGCCUGUUGCCACCCUUUCUGAAUGCCAUUUAAAAAUUCUUAACUACCUUCUCCAAACCACACACACACAAGUUAUCUUCCUCUCCCACACUCUUGUCUCUUUCUCUUUGUAUUUCAGGGUGUCUACCAGAAGAUGGACCCAAGAUCCAUGGAGGCUCCUGUGACUCAGAUCAACUGCCCUGCCCGGGAAACCUGGUCUCUCCGGAAACCUUGAUUAAACUGCUUUUUCUGACACCUCUUCCUCUACAACCCUUGAUUCUAUCACCAUUGAAACUUCAGAACCAACUCUAACCAUCCCCACCUCCAGGUGAGGGGACUAAUGAGAAUUACUGACAGCCUGAUGGCUACCCCCAAGUCAGUUUCCCUUCAUACUUUACUACAAAUCUGACCAUGUUCCCAUAUUUACUGAGUAAAUUUGAUGAAAUUUACCUAGUCCUGUGUCCUAGAUGUAUCAGGGAGAGGGAAGAGAAAGGAUAAAGGAAGUUGAGAGCUGGGAUAGGAAUUAGAGGCAAAGGGCUUAUGUAGGGAGCAGAGAGCUAAAAUUCUAGUCAGGCACCUCUUUCUGAGGUGAUGGGGGAGUAUACUGGGAGCAAACUCUUCUAGAGAAAGCAUGGUGUGGUAAAAGAAAACCAAGCUUGGAUUCAGAAAUCACCAUCAGCACUUGCUGUUUGACCUUAAAUUCCUCAUCUGUCAGAUUAAAAGGUCUCGGCCGGGCAUGGUGGCUCACGCCUGUAAUCCCAGCACUUUGGGAGGCUGAGGCAGGCGGAUCACCUGAUGCUGGGAGUUCGGGACCAGCCUGACCAACAUGGAGAAACCCUGUCUCUACUAAAAAUACAAAAUUAGCUGGGCCUGGGGUGGCACAUGCCUGUAAUCCCAGCUACUCGGGAGGCUGAGGCAGGAGAAGCGCUUGAACCUGGGGAGGCGGAGGUUGCGGUAAGCCGAGAUCACGCCACUGCACUCCAGCCUGGGCAACAAGAGUGAAACUCCAUCUCAAAAAAAAAAAAAAAAGAUUAAAAGGUCUAUAAAGUCCCUAUUAAGCACCAUGAGUAUAAAGGGACUCAAACUGACCUCUGCAGAUUCUUGAUUCCAGCUUUUUUGUUUUUGUUUUGUUUUGAGAUGAAGUCUCGCUCUUGUCCCCCAGGCUGGAGUGCAUGGCGUGAUCUCGGCUCACUGCAACCUCCACCUCCCGG